This is a long non-coding RNA of Brassica napus (rape), 1982 nucleotides long. RefSeq lists it as uncharacterized. NCBI's taxonomy places the organism in Eukaryota, Viridiplantae, Streptophyta, Magnoliopsida, Brassicales, Brassicaceae. The transcript is spliced from 2 exons. The record is from RefSeq and is a predicted model, not a curated record.
AAUAUAUAUUUUCAUAACAUAGUUUAGAAUUUAUAAAAUAACUAACACCAAUAUUAAUAGUUAUCACCACCAGUCGCGGGUUGGGCUGAUUCAAAAUAUGACACAAUUAUUUAAGAUAAUAUAUUCUAUAAAAUUCACAAUGGUGGAGAUCUUUUCAAAUAUGGUCUCAUUAAAGUUUUAUAAUAAUAAAUAAUAUGUAAAAUUUGUAUAAUUAAAAAAAUCAUUGUAAUUUUCAAAAAUAAGUCAAUAUCUAAUUAUUCUAAAAAAAUCGAAACAUUUUUAUAUUGUUUUAUAAUUUUACAUAUAAAACACAUUUACAUAAUAUGAUACAUAAUCUUAAGGACAUCAAAUAAUCUUUAAAAAACAUGAUGAAAGGGAAAGUUUAGAUUAUUUAGUAUAUAAUCCAUGACAAUAAUGAUUUUUAUUUGAAUAUAAACAGAAUGUUUUGGUAAACUAAUACUAUACCAUAUUUACACCAUUAUUAACUGCAGAAUUUUUAUUGUAAAAUAACUAAAAAGACAUGAUUUGGUGUUUAUACCUCUUAUAGGAAAUAAUAUAUUAUGGAUAUUGACAAAGUUAUUGAUGAGAAAUGUUUGUCUUAUUGAUUUUGAAGAUGAGUUGAGCAAUAAUGCAAAAUAUAUUACUGACAUUGUUGUCGUGUUGUAUCUUGGCAAAUGGUAGUUUAGGCUACUAUUUGUUUAAAUGAUUUUCAUGUAAAACAUAUAUUUUUGGUAACCAAUAUAUAAUAUAAUGGCCGUCUCGGUGCAAGUUCUAAUUAGAUACAUAAUUUGAAAAUCUUAUGUCAUAUUAUAUUCUAUAUUAAAAUAUUCCAUACAAUAUUUUGACUAUUAUAUAUAUAUCUUUGUUAAGGAAAUCUAUGUUUUUCCUAUAAUAUAUAUAUAUAUAUAUUCUGAAGUAAAUCUAUAUUUUUCAUAGAACUAAGAAUAUAUUUUUAUUUAUUUAUGAAUCUAUAAAAUAUUUUUUUGAGAAAAUAAGAACUGUUAUACAAACUAUUACUUAUAAUAUUAUUUCACUUCUGUAAAUGUAUGCAUGAAUUUCAUUAUAUCUAUAUAUUACCCAUUAAGAAUUGAAGAAUAUUUUUUUUAACUAUAUGAAAUUAGUAAAUAAAGUUGUAGUUGCUAAUUACUUUUGGCCACAUAUUUAAAUUUUCAAAAUUAGACACACACACACACACAUAUAUAUAUUUCAUUAAUUGGUAAUUUUAUGUGGUGAUAUAUCCUAUCAGAACUAAAAUGAUAAUUUGGAACAACUAUUCAACAUAAAUGUUUUGGAAUAUAACGAAAAUAAAAAUAAUAAAAAAUUAUAAUUUCUAGUUUUUCGGAUCAUCUUAGUACAACGUUUUUUGUGGCAUAUAUACAUGUCCAUAUUUAAUGUUAUUGAAGAGAAAUUAGUAAAUGCUAAUUUGGUAGCUAAUCUAUUGCUAGUUGAUUUUAUCCACAUAUUUAAUCAUUCAACGUUGCGUAUAUACGCUAAAUGGUAUUUUAAGGUGAUGACAUAUCGUAACAAAAAUUAAAAUAAAUGUUUGGAAUAAAAUUAAAAAAAAAAACUAACCAAUCAUUUUAAAACUGUUUUUCCGGAUAAUUCUAAAAAUAGUUUUCAAAGACUUAUAUAUAUGUAUAUGUUCACAUUUAAGGUUUUCUACAAUAAACACACAAAAUAUUUAUUUACAGAGAAGAGUUACAAUGUCAGCAUCUAAAUUUGCUAUAUUUUGUAUUGUUCUAGUGUUUCUUGCUAGUUGUCAUGAAUGUGCCGACCUCAACAGAGGGCCCAAACCAACAUGCUCUAAAACACCAAAGAAUGUUUGGUGUUGCAGCAACAAUUCACACUGUCGGGAAACCAAAGCGCUAUGUGAGAAGAUUUGUUGGGUCCGCGGUUGAAUUUUUCUGAAGAGAACUUCUAUAAUUAUUUAUUCCAAAUAUUUUUGUACUUCCAUUAGUCUAAAUUCGAAUAAUAAAUAGUAA